RNAcentral lists this ribosomal RNA (494 nucleotides) under uncultured bacterium. RNAcentral describes it as "partial 16S ribosomal RNA". It matches the Rfam family "Bacterial small subunit ribosomal RNA", at positions 28 to 507 of the family's 1533-position model. The record is from RNAcentral.
GACGAACGCUGGCGGCGUGCUUAACACAUGCAAGUCGAACGGAAAGGCCUGUCCUUCCUUGUGUUGGACGAGUGCUCGAGUGGCGCACGGGUGAGUAGCACGUGAGUGAUCUACCCCCAACUUGGGUAUAAGCUUGUGACACUGGGUCUCUUUCCAGAUAGGACUGCAGGGGGGUGCCUGUGGUGGAGGACGAUUUUCUAGUGGUCGGGGAUGAGCUCGCGGCCUAUCAGCUUGGUGGUGGGGUAAUGGCCUACCAAGGCGGCGACGGGUAGCCGGCCUGAGAGGGUGGACGGGCACAUUGGGACUGAGAUACGGGCCAGAAUCCUACGGGAGGCAGCAGUGGGGGAUAUUGCACAAUGGGCGGAAGCCUGAUGCAGCGACGCCGCGUGGGGGAUGACGGCCUUCGGGGUGUAAACUCCUUUCGGCCGCGAGGAAGCCGCGUGGUUGGAAUGGGGGUGACGGUAGUGGGAGAAGAAGCACCGGCUAACUACGUG